Long non-coding RNA from Macadamia integrifolia, 549 nucleotides. RefSeq lists it as uncharacterized. The transcript has 2 exons. The record is from RefSeq and is a predicted model, not a curated record. NCBI's taxonomy places the organism in Eukaryota, Viridiplantae, Streptophyta, Magnoliopsida, Proteales, Proteaceae.
UCUUAGUGGCUAAGGAGGUACAAAUGGGUGUUGGGGGUUUGCUCAGUUUAGUGUUUUCUUGUUUGGUAGUGAUGUUCCAUUGCUUGACCUAAAUGAGACAAAACAAGUAGCUAGCUCUGCAACUACAUCUGUGGGACUAAAAUCCCAACCCAAAUGAAGGAGAAUUUUGGAGCAUUUCCAUUAUCGUCAUAUGUUGGGAUUGUACAUGGUUGGAGGAACUUCAAUGUGUUGGGACUUGGAGAGGAGACAUGUUAGCUAUAAUUCCUUGGGGCAAGAGAAUGAGAGAUUGCUAACUGGUCGCAUAGCUCAUGCAUUAGUACAACAAUGUACACAUGGACAUCAACAUGGAUCAGAUUUUUUACUUAUAAUGGUUGUUAUGAUAACUUUACAUGCCCCUAUGUUCACCCACAUAAACCACUCGACUACGUAUGAUUGUUUUUCCGAAUUCUUUGUUUCUCUACUUAUUCUAUUUCCUUGUAUGGUCUUCUUUUGUAAAAACAUAUCAUGCUUAGACAUAUAAUCGUAAUAAAUGUAUAGGGUUUAUCAGAA